AUUGAACGCUGGCGGCAUGCCUUACACAUGCAAGUCGAACGGCAGCACGGGAGCAAUCCUGGUGGCGAGUGGCGAACGGGUGAGUAAUACAUCGGAACGUGCCCAAUCGUGGGGGAUAACGCAGCGAAAGCUGUGCUAAUACCGCAUACGAUCUACGGAUGAAAGCAGGGGAUCGCAAGACCUUGCGCGAAUGGAGCGGCCGAUGGCAGAUUAGGUAGUUGGUGAGGUAAAGGCUCACCAAGCCGUCGAUCUGUAGCUGGUCUGAGAGGACGACCAGCCACACUGGGACUGAGACACGGCCCAGACUCCUACGGGAGGCAGCAGUGGGGAAUUUUGGACAAUGGGCGAAAGCCUGAUCCAGCCAUGCCGCGUGCAGGAUGAAGGCCUUCGGGUUGUAAACUGCUUUUGUACGGAACGAAACGGCCUUUUCUAAUAAAGAGGGCUAAUGACGGUACCGUAAGAAUAAGCACCGGCUAACUACGUGCCAGCAGCCGCGGUAAUACGUAGGGUGCAAGCGUUAAUCGGAAUUACUGGGCGUAAAGCGUGCGCAGGCGGUUAUGUAAGACAGUUGUGAAAUCCCCGGGCUCAACCUGGGAACUGCAUCUGUGACUGCAUAGCUAGAGUACGGUAGAGGGGGAUGGAAUUCCGCGUGUAGCAGUGAAAUGCGUAGAUAUGCGGAGGAACACCGAUGGCGAAGGCAAUCCCCUGGACCUGUACUGACGCUCAUGCAUGAAAGCGUGGGGAGCAAACAGG
Molecule: ribosomal RNA, 753 nt
Filed under: uncultured Comamonadaceae bacterium
Lineage: Bacteria; Pseudomonadati; Pseudomonadota; Betaproteobacteria; Burkholderiales; Comamonadaceae
Description: bacterial SSU rRNA
Rfam family: Bacterial small subunit ribosomal RNA
Source: RNAcentral